Molecule: transfer RNA, 88 nt
Filed under: Actinomycetales bacterium
Lineage: Bacteria; Bacillati; Actinomycetota; Actinomycetes; Actinomycetales
Also listed under: 2 other names
Description: tRNA-Ser
Rfam family: tRNA
About the family: Transfer RNA (tRNA) molecules are approximately 80 nucleotides in length. Their secondary structure includes four short double-helical elements and three loops (D, anti-codon, and T loops). Further hydrogen bonds mediate the characteristic L-shaped molecular structure. tRNAs have two regions of fundamental functional importance: the anti-codon, which is responsible for specific mRNA codon recognition, and the 3' end, to which the tRNAs corresponding amino acid is attached (by aminoacyl-tRNA synthetases). tRNAs cope with the degeneracy of the genetic code in two manners: having more than one tRNA (with a specific anti-codon) for a particular amino acid; and 'wobble' base-pairing, i.e. permitting non-standard base-pairing at the 3rd anti-codon position.
Source: RNAcentral
GGAGGAUUCGCAUAGUGGCCUAGUGCGCACGAUUGGAAAUCGUGUUGGGUUAAAACCCUCAGGGGUUCAAAUCCCCUAUCCUCCGCCA